This 489-nucleotide ribosomal RNA is filed under the name Planctomycetota bacterium. RNAcentral describes it as "bacterial SSU rRNA". It matches the Rfam family "Bacterial small subunit ribosomal RNA", at positions 1 to 479 of the family's 1533-position model. The record is from RNAcentral. Lineage: Bacteria; Pseudomonadati; Planctomycetota.
UUGAUGGAGAAUUUGAUCCUGGUUCAGAACGAACGUUGGCGGCGUGGAUGAGGCAUGCAAGUCGAUCGGUAAGGCCCCUUCGGGGGUACACGAGAGGCGGAAGGGUGAGUAAUAACUGGUUAAUCUACCCUUGAGUGGGGGAUAACCCUGGGAAACCGGGGCUAAUACCGCAUAAGACCACAGGGAGGCAUCUCCCAGAGGUCAAAGCCUUCGGGCGCUCGAGGAGGAGACCAGUCCGUAUCAGGUAGUUGGCGGGGUAACGGCCCACCAAGCCUGCGACGCGUAGCCGGCCUGAGAGGGUGGCCGGCCACACUGGGACUGAGACACUGCCCAGACUCCUACGGGAGGCUGCAGUCGAGAAUCAUUGUCAAUGGGGGAAACCCUGAACGUGCGACGCCUCGUGGGCGUGACCCUCAGCGACGAGGGAUACGACGUCGCCGUCGCUUCCGACGGCGAAGAGGCACUGCGCAUGAUCUCGGAGACAUCCCC